AUCGCUUCUCGGCCUUUUGGCUAAGAUCAAGUGUAAAAGCAUGCCAUAAAUCACCAUCACUAUAAAAGCAAAUGCAAUUCUAUAACUUUCUGUGUUCAUUGGUUGUCAUUUCUCAUGUAAAGGACAGCACCUGCACAUCAUGCUAUCUUUAGGUGGCAGCC
RNAcentral lists this small RNA (161 nucleotides) under Marmota monax (woodchuck). Lineage: Eukaryota; Metazoa; Chordata; Mammalia; Rodentia; Sciuridae. The record is from RNAcentral.